This is a long non-coding RNA of Cyprinus carpio carpio, 943 nucleotides long. NCBI's taxonomy places the organism in Eukaryota, Metazoa, Chordata, Actinopteri, Cypriniformes, Cyprinidae. The record is from Ensembl.
GGAGGCCAGAAACAAAGGUUUUAAGUUAAAAACCUGGAGUGGUGUGGAUUAAUGUGAUGUUUUAUCAGCUGUUUGGACUCAUUCUGAUGGCACCCAUUCACUGCAGAGGAUCCAAUGGUGAGCAAGUGAUGAAAUACUACAUUUCUCCAAAUCUUUUCCCAUGAAGAAACAAACUCUUCUAUAUUUUGGAUGGACUGAGGCAUCUCCUAAUGUAAAAGUAUCUCCAGAUGUCAUAAGAGAGUCAAGCUCAGUGAAGAUCAGCUGUGAGACACCAGCAGAUGUUACAGUGGAUCAGUGUUAUUUCAACUCAAACAAAGAACAGAAGAAUAUAAAAGUCAGUUCAUCAUGUGAGCUGGAUGGGCAGCUGUAAAGUCACCUGAAUCACUCAAUAUUUACUGUUACUACACAAUACAUGAGAGAGGCAUCAAUAAACCAUCGUCUGAUUCUCCUCCUGCCACAGUGACACUUCUAGGUUCUCUUCAGAAACCCUUCAUCAGUGUCAGUGACGAUGAUGACUUGCUCUUCAUAGCGUGUGAAAUACCACUUUCAGUCAGAGCUGAUUUCAUCUGUAGUCUCUACACUGAGGAUGAUGCUCUUCUUUAUCAAAGUGUUUCUCAGAGGACUCUGUGUGUUUUUUUUGGGUCAUAGUGAACUCUUGACACGAUCAGUGAACAGCAGACAGCUGAUCUGUGUUUAUUCACUCAAGACUGAACCUGAGAUCAGAUCACCACACAGUGACACAUACACCAUCAGAGGUGCAUGUCAUACAUUAUAAGCAUCAUUCAUAUUAAAAUGUAAAAUAGAAAACAGAAUACUGUGAAAUUACUGUAUGCGUAAAAUAAAGAGGUAAAAUGUCCAAGUGAUUCAUAAGGUUUAACAUAUCAGGCAAUGGUAAACCUGUAAAUAUCUGGCGAUUUUCAAAUCACAGCUUUUCAGGCCUGGA